GACGAACGCUGGCGGCGUGCUUAACACAUGCAAGUCGAACGGAAAGGCCCGGCUUUUGUGGGGUGCACGAGUGGCGAACGGGUGAGUAACACGUGAGUAACCUGCCCUUGACUUUGGGAUAACUUCAGGAAACAGGGGCUAAUACCGGAUAGGAGCUCCUGCUGUAUGGUGGGGGUUGGAAAGUUUCGGCGGUUGGGGAAGGUCUCGAGGCAUAUCAGCUUGUUGGUGGGGUAGUGGCUUAACAAGGCUUUGACAGGUGGACUAGCUGAAAUGGUAACAGGACGACCUAUGUCUGAAAUACGGCCCAGACGACUACAGGAGGCAUGAGUGAGGAGUAUUGCACAAGGUUGGGUAUCCUAAUGCAUCAAUGCCGCGGUCGGGGUGAGAGGCUUCUGGUAGUAAACUUGUUUCCCCUGUACAGAACCGAGACUGACGGUAAUGGGUAAAGAAGCACCGGCUAACUACGUG
Molecule: ribosomal RNA, 468 nt
Filed under: uncultured bacterium
Lineage: Bacteria
Description: partial 16S ribosomal RNA
Rfam family: Bacterial small subunit ribosomal RNA
Source: RNAcentral